This 406-nucleotide ribosomal RNA is filed under the name uncultured bacterium. RNAcentral describes it as "partial 16S ribosomal RNA". It matches the Rfam family "Bacterial small subunit ribosomal RNA", at positions 360 to 773 of the family's 1533-position model. The record is from RNAcentral.
AAUAUUCCGCAAUGGAGGAAACUCUGAGGCAGCGAUCCCGCGUGAGCGAUGAAGUUCUUCGGAUCGUAAAGCUCUGUGCUUGUGGAAGAAGGUCUUCGGACUUGUCGUGACCGAUGGAGGAAGCUCCGGCUAACUACGUUCCAGCAGCCGCGGUAAUACGUAGGGGGCAAGCGUUGUCCGGAAUUAUUGGGCGUAAAGGGUGCGUAGGCGGCCUUUUAAGUCAGAUGUGAAAGCCCACGGCUCAACCGUGGGAUUGCAUUUGAAACUGGAGGGCUUGAGUAUCGGAGAGGGUAGUGGAAUUCCCAGUGUAGCGGUGAAAUGCGUAGAUAUUGGGAGGAACACCAGUGGCGAAGGCGACUACCUGGACGAUUACUGACGCUGAUGCACGAAAGCUAGGGGAGCAAAC